This 446-nucleotide ribosomal RNA is filed under the name uncultured prokaryote. Its description in RNAcentral is "bacterial SSU rRNA". It matches the Rfam family "Bacterial small subunit ribosomal RNA", at positions 355 to 796 of the family's 1533-position model. The record is from RNAcentral.
UCGAGAAUCUUCGGCAAUGGACGAAAGUCUGACCGAGCGACGCCGCGUGCGGGAUGAAGGCCUUCGGGUUGUAAACCGCUGUCGUAAGGGAACAAAUCUAUAGGGGUUCUCCCCUAUAGUUGAGUGAUCUUAGGAGGAAGGACGGGCUAAGUUCGUGCCAGCAGCCGCGGUAAGACGAACCGUCCGAACGUUAUUCGGUAUCACUGGGCUUAAAGAGUUCGUAGGCGGCCUAGUAGGUCAGGUGUGAAAUCCCACAGCUCAACUGUGGAACUGCGCUUGAAACCACUAGGCUUGAGGGAGAUAGAGGUGAGCGGAACUGAUGGUGGAGCGGUGAAAUGCGUUGAUAUCAUCAGGAACACCGGUGGCGAAAGCGGCUCACUGGAUCUCUUCUGACGCUGAGGAACGAAAGCUAGGGUAGCGAACGGGAUUAGAUACCCCCGUAGUCC